UUACCGCUAUGAAUAUGCAUAGAUCUGACAAUCAUUUAUUACGAAAGGUUAUAUAAGGAUGUCGAGUGCUUCAGAUGUUGAUGUUCAUCCAGCAUUGACUUGCUGCUUUAAGUUUUCAAACGAAAUUAACCUGAUGGGUUUAGGCUAACCCUCCGCAGAUAAGGCAACAAAUAUCUUUAACAUAUCCUUAGAAUCUAUUUGGUUGAAGAAAAACUAUUUCAUAAUGGGAACGAGUCUGCGUGUGCCUUAGACAAUGGAACAAAUGUACAAAAAUAGAACAAGAACUUGGCACAUUUGGUACGUAUCAAGAUUAAAAGAUAAAUGCAAGGAACGAGUAAAUAGUAAACUGACAGCAAUGGAAUUUAUUUAUUGAAUGUCAACUAAAGACAGUCGACAAAACAAA
Long non-coding RNA from Drosophila grimshawi, 403 nucleotides. RefSeq lists it as uncharacterized. Lineage: Eukaryota; Metazoa; Arthropoda; Insecta; Diptera; Drosophilidae. The transcript is spliced from 3 exons. The record is from RefSeq and is a predicted model, not a curated record.